CAGUAGCCGCGGUAAUACGUAGGUGGCAAGCGUUGUCCGGAAUUAUUGGGCGUAAAGGGCUCGCAGGCGGUUUCUUAAGUCUGAUGUGAAAGCCCCCGGCUCAACCGGGGAGGGUCAUUGGAAACUGGGAAACUUGAGUGCAGAAGAGGAGAGUAGAAUUCCACGUGUAGCGGUGAAAUGCGUAGAGAUGUGGAGGAACACCAGUGGCGAAGGCGACUCUCUGGUCUGUAACUGACGCUGAGGAGCGAAAGCGUGGGGAGCGAACAGGAUUAGAUACCCCAGUAGUCCCUGUCUCUUAUAC
This 301-nucleotide ribosomal RNA is filed under the name uncultured bacterium. RNAcentral describes it as "partial 16S ribosomal RNA". It matches the Rfam family "Bacterial small subunit ribosomal RNA", at positions 509 to 807 of the family's 1533-position model. The record is from RNAcentral.